AUUCUUGAGAAACCAGGACAACUUCGUAAAAUCCUUGUUGAUCAGUGAUUUGGCCAUAUCAUUCGUCUCCACCGUUACCUUAGAUGUUUUUUCUUAUGAUCAUCUAUUUGUUGGGUAUAACUUAACUUUGUUGGGCGAAGCUUCAGUUAAUCUCUUACUAUUUUGUUAUAUUUGUUGUUAUAUGUGAUUUAUGUUGCUAAUAAGAUAUCCGCUUCAUUUUACUGUAUUUAGGAGGAAUCGAAAAUUGGGUAUGGGUACAUGAUGUGAGAAGUGGAUGAAAAUUUGUUCCAGUGAAUGAUCAUCUUCUGAAUGCUUUAAUCUGGUCAUAUCUUCUACGAAUCUUUACAUUUCAGCUAGUUUACUUAGUAUCUACUUCUGCAGUUCUUUUAAGUUAAUUGUGUGGGUUUUACAGGGGAGAGGUUCACCUGCUUUCCUUUCAGCCAAUAAAUGUGCGGAACCGGUGGCACGCAGAGGUUUACAUACUUUUUCAUACAGCCUUGGGAUAAAACAGGUAAUUU
Molecule: long non-coding RNA, 518 nt
Filed under: Trifolium pratense (red clover)
Lineage: Eukaryota; Viridiplantae; Streptophyta; Magnoliopsida; Fabales; Fabaceae
Description: long non-coding RNA (TPRA_LNC010985)
Source: RNAcentral